CACCACGGUGAUGAGCCCUAACACAUCUGUAAUGAUUCUUGCGGUCAUGAUCAUGAUC
This 58-nucleotide small nucleolar RNA is filed under the name Zea mays. Its description in RNAcentral is "Small nucleolar RNA SNORD25". It matches the Rfam family "Small nucleolar RNA SNORD25", at positions 1 to 60 of the family's 87-position model. Rfam says of the family: U25 is a member of the C/D class of snoRNA which contain the C (UGAUGA) and D (CUGA) box motifs. U25 is found in gene clusters in plants, and within the U22 snoRNA host gene (UHG) in mammals. U25 is thought to as a 2'-O-ribose methylation guide for ribosomal RNA. Lineage: Eukaryota; Viridiplantae; Streptophyta; Magnoliopsida; Poales; Poaceae. The record is from Rfam by way of RNAcentral.